GCUGGUUUGCUCAGGCAAAAACCUCUUCUCUUUUGGGAAGGGGAAGCCGAGGAGGAAGAGGCAGCAGAGGAAGAAGAGAAGUGGUUCUGCUUUCUCCGCGGCAACGGCGACGGC
This 114-nucleotide non-coding RNA is filed under the name Picochlorum sp. RCC944. The record is from RNAcentral. Lineage: Eukaryota; Viridiplantae; Chlorophyta; Trebouxiophyceae.